UUCUCAUCAAGAGAGGUGGAGGGACUGGCCCGAUGAAACCCGGCAACCUCACGUAAGGUGCCAAGUCCUGCGGGGAAGUGUCUUUCCUGACAGAUGAGGU
RNAcentral lists this non-coding RNA (100 nucleotides) under Desulforamulus ruminis. RNAcentral's name for it is "Desulfotomaculum ruminis SAM-I sequence". It matches the Rfam family "SAM riboswitch aptamer (S box leader)". From Rfam's summary of the family: The SAM riboswitch is found upstream of a number of genes which code for proteins involved in methionine or cysteine biosynthesis in Gram-positive bacteria. The SAM riboswitch acts at the level of transcription termination control. The predicted structure consists of a complex stem-loop region followed by a single stem loop terminator region. The record is from RNAcentral. RNAcentral also lists the same sequence under 1 other name. Lineage: Bacteria; Bacillati; Bacillota; Clostridia; Eubacteriales; Peptococcaceae.